UUCAGCCCAGUGAUGGAGGAGGACAUUAGGUGUUAAGUUUAAGAAGUUGAAGGACUCAAGCUUGUAUGCAGCUUCCAUGAUAUACACAGAAAGAGGACUGUGGAGAAAGGAGUCUAUGCCCAGCUUACACACAACAACCUAGGAUGUGGCUGGGUCUCUAUAACAAUGGGCAGAUAGGCAAUAGGACAUCCAUCAAAGCUAAGACAAGCCAAACCACAGGAUUUAAUGCCAAUUCUCCAGAGAUUCAUUUUUCGUGUGACACAUCUGCUGAAUAA
Molecule: long non-coding RNA, 275 nt
Filed under: Mustela putorius furo (domestic ferret)
Lineage: Eukaryota; Metazoa; Chordata; Mammalia; Carnivora; Mustelidae
Description: lncRNA (ENSMPUG00000025250.1)
Source: RNAcentral